Molecule: long non-coding RNA, 403 nt
Filed under: Mustela putorius furo (domestic ferret)
Lineage: Eukaryota; Metazoa; Chordata; Mammalia; Carnivora; Mustelidae
Description: lncRNA (ENSMPUG00000030502.1)
Source: RNAcentral
GAGAAAACUUGAGGAAAGGUCUAACCUGAAAAGCAGUAUCUGGAGACCAUUUAUUCUCUUCCAGUGAGAAAGGACUCUCCCAGCUGGAAAGUCAGUUCCAUGACUUAAGACUGUCUCAAGAAGUAAUCCACGAAGUCAUGAGGACGCUCAAAUAGCUUGUGAAAUACCAGUACCACCUUGCAACCCUUGUGACUGCACCUUCUUGGAAUCAGAUCUUGCAGCUCCAAAAGAUUCUGAUGACAGCAGCCCCACGCGACCUUUUGACUGCAGCUUCGUGCUAUACCCUUGGGCAGAACCACCCAGCUCAGCAGUUCCCGAAUUUGUGACCCACACAAACAGUGAGUUUGAUAAAUGUUCAUGACUGUUUAAUUUUGCAGUUUUUGAAAUAUAAUUUACAUACAUC